This 261-nucleotide ribosomal RNA is filed under the name uncultured bacterium. RNAcentral describes it as "partial 16S ribosomal RNA". It matches the Rfam family "Bacterial small subunit ribosomal RNA", at positions 99 to 354 of the family's 1533-position model. The record is from RNAcentral.
CGAACGGGUGAGUAACACGUGGGCAACCUGCCCAAAAGAGGGGGAUAACACUUGGAAACAGGUGCUAAUACCGCAUAACCAUAGUUACCGCAUGGUAACUAUGUAAAAGGUGGCUAUGCUACCGCUUUUGGAUGGGCCCGCGGCGCAUUAGCUAGUUGGUGGGGUAAAGGCUUACCAAAGCAAUGAUGCGUAGCCGAACUGAGAGGUUGAUCGGCCACAUUGGGACUGAGACACGGCCCAAACUCCUACGGGAGGCAGCAG